GUAGGUGGCAAGCGUUGUCCGGAAUUAUUGGGCGUAAAGCGCGCGCAGGCGGUUCUUUAAGUCUGAUGUGAAAGCCCACGGGCUCAACCGUGGAGGGUCAUUGGAAACUGGAGAACUUGAGUACAGAAGAGGAAAGCGGAAUUCCACGUGUAGCGGUGAAAUGCGUAGAGAUGUGGAGGAACACCAGUGGCGAAGGCGGCUUUCUGGUCUGUAACUGACGCUGAGGCGCGAAAGCGGUGGGGAGACAAACAGGAUUAGAUACCCUGGUAGUCCACGACCGUAAACGAUGAGUGCUAAGUGUUAGGGGGGUUUCCGCCCCCUUAGUGCUGCAGCUAACGCAUUAAGCACUCCGCCUGGGGAGUACGGCCGCAAGGCUG
RNAcentral lists this ribosomal RNA (377 nucleotides) under uncultured organism. RNAcentral's name for it is "partial 16S ribosomal RNA". It matches the Rfam family "Bacterial small subunit ribosomal RNA", at positions 527 to 896 of the family's 1533-position model. The record is from RNAcentral.